RNAcentral lists this long non-coding RNA (522 nucleotides) under Homo sapiens (human). Its description in RNAcentral is "non-protein coding lnc-ELF1-2:10". The record is from RNAcentral. Lineage: Eukaryota; Metazoa; Chordata; Mammalia; Primates; Hominidae.
GACACUGAAACAGAGCAAUAAUUGAUGUAUUCAACAGUCCACCUCUGUAUGAUGAUGUGAAAGUGCAAUUUUUCUCUUUGGCUAAGGAAGCAAGAAAGUGGAGGGGCGGGCAGAGCCAGAUCCAGUGGUUUCACUCAUGCAAGACAGAAGUCACUGUCUAUCCUGUGGCUGGAGGGGCUACUUUGCUCAGAAGACACAGGUCUUCCCCAGAAUCUCACGUGGCUGCUUACUGUUUCCCUGUCUUCUCUCCCCAUUUUGUCCUUUGCUAAGGAAACUGAACUGAAUUCCAGGUCUUCUCUAAUAGAGUGUCUCUCCUUCAACAGGGAACAAAACUACAGUUGCCUGUAGUUUUUGCUUCUGUUCAGUCUCCAUCAUGGCAUGCCAUACUCUCCUGGUUUGUGCCCUGCUUGUUUCUUUACUGCCUUCCUGCCUGCCCUUUCUGUGCUGGAGGCUCAUCCCAUUCAUGCUCAGCCCUCCUCGCUGUCUACACUGUCUUCUUGGGCAAUCGUAUCUAGUCCCAAG